AUUCCAGCUCCAAGAGCGUAUAUUAAAGUUGUUGCAGUUAAAAAGCUCGUAGUUGGAUUUCUGGUCUAAUGCGCCUGGCCCGCUGCCGUUAGGUAUGUGAGUGCCGGUGCGCGUUUACCAUCCUUCCAGAGAACACUUCUACCAUUUAUUUGGACGGAUGUUGUCUUCUGGAUCUUUUACUUUGAAAAAAUUAGAGUGUUUAAAGCAGGCAUAAUAAUCUAGGACUUCGGUUCUAUUUUGUUGGUUUCUAGUACUGAAGUAAUGAUUGAUAGGGAUAGUUGGGGGUGCUAGUAUUGGCCGGCCAGAGGUGAAAUUCUUGGAUUCGGUCAAGACUAACUUAUGCGAAAGCAUUCACCAAGGAUGUCCUCAUCA
This 372-nucleotide ribosomal RNA is filed under the name Cryomonadida sp. RNAcentral's name for it is "partial small subunit ribosomal RNA". It matches the Rfam family "Eukaryotic small subunit ribosomal RNA", at positions 582 to 975 of the family's 1831-position model. Lineage: Eukaryota; Cercozoa; Thecofilosea; Cryomonadida. The record is from RNAcentral.